Small nucleolar RNA from Arvicola amphibius (Eurasian water vole), 114 nucleotides. RefSeq annotates it as small nucleolar RNA SNORD22. Lineage: Eukaryota; Metazoa; Chordata; Mammalia; Rodentia; Cricetidae. The transcript has a single exon. The record is from RefSeq and is a predicted model, not a curated record.
CCACAGAGAAGGGACAUUCACACAUCUUACUUCCUGUCCCAGCCCCAGAGCCUAAGGAGGGACUGGCCUGGGUAGAAGACAACAGCUUGCUCCAAUAGAAACUACCUGAGGGGC